Molecule: long non-coding RNA, 985 nt
Filed under: Homo sapiens (human)
Lineage: Eukaryota; Metazoa; Chordata; Mammalia; Primates; Hominidae
Description: HSALNT0388678
Source: RNAcentral
UCUUUACGGUUCUGUCCCCUAGGCCCCUUCCUUCCAUAAGACCUACUCAGGACUCCACUGGGCUGCUGACUACUCACCCUCCCCUCAGGUCAUCUCCUGACCCGUACACAGUUAUGUCCACCCAGGGUCUGCUUGGACACCUGUGCCUGAUGUUCACCAGGGGCCAGAUGUCGUCCUCAGGCCUGAUGUCCACCUAGGGCCUGAUGACUGCCUUGGCCUAUGUCCCUCUGGGGGCCUUGUGUUCACCUGGGGACUGUAUCCAGCUGGGGCCUGAUGGCCUACUGGGUCUUGUUGUUCACCUAAGGCCUUGUGUCCACCUGGGGACUGGUGAUCACCUGGGGCCUGGGUGUCCACCUGAGGCCAGAGGUGCACCUAAGGCCUGAGUUUUCACCUGGGCCUGAUGAUCACCUGGGGACUGGGUGUGUGCCUUGGGUCUUUUCCCUUUUCCUGAACAGGGCUUGCAGUUUCCAAACCAGACACAAUCUCCCAGUUGGAGAAAGAAAAAGGAUCCUAGAUGAUAGUGAGACAAAUUUCAGGAAACUCCAUCCAAAUAAGUAAAUGAGAAUGAGGACAGGAUUCAUUGCAUGGUGGCAUGUGCCUGCAGUCCCAGCUACUCAAGAGGCUGAGGUGGGAGGAUCGCUUGAACUCAGGAGUUGAAGGCUGCAGUGGGUGAGGAUCACAACACUGAAUUCCAGCUGAGGUGACAGAAUGAGACCCUGUCUCUCUAAAAAACAAGCAAGCAAACAAACCAAAAACCACAGACAAACCAGACCCCUCUUAGCAGAAUACUUCCAUGAGGUAAUAAAAGCUUCACAGGUCCACAAGUUGAAAGUGUACCCCCAGGAGCUGCACUAAAUGAUUUGUACCCAUCUGCACCUGAUUUAGAACGUUUAGAAGGAGCUGUUUCAGGCCUCCUCCUCCUCCCGUAAUAACUUGCAGUCUUUCCUAUGUUAUAAUAAAGCUACAUUUUCUUCUGAAAACUGGC